UCACGUGAUUGGCCCUCCUGCUGUGACGCAUGUCUGAUGCACCCUCCGCAGCGGGGCGGUGGAUUUGAAACGUCACCGCCGCUGCACACCUGCAGCCUCUCGGCCCUGAUUGUCUCUGUCUCCCGCUGCUCCGUCCACGACCGCACACACAACGUUUCACCGUGCCGUUGUUUGCGGUUCCCGGAGUGUUUGUUCGCUGGCUCUUCGUGACUCCAGCCGCGGGCCACGAACACAACAGCUGGAGGCUGAAGCGGAGCUUCCCUCGGCCGUGGUUCACUGGGACCGGGAGUUUGACGCUGACCGCUCCACUCCACCGAGAAACACGUGAAAUCCAACCUGUUCGUGCUGAGCUCCACGUGGCCUGAGUCAAGAGAAGCUAACUGAAGUCUCUCCCACUGUGAAUGUGAGGGGAAAGGAGGCAGAGGUCUAUAUACAAGGUAAGGCUUAAACAUCUCAUAUCUGCGCAACACAAGUUUGUUCUAGGAAAAGCAAACGAUGGAUGUCUAGUGUUUCUUCUCA
This is a long non-coding RNA of Scophthalmus maximus (turbot), 519 nucleotides long. RefSeq lists it as uncharacterized. NCBI's taxonomy places the organism in Eukaryota, Metazoa, Chordata, Actinopteri, Pleuronectiformes, Scophthalmidae. The record is from RefSeq and is a predicted model, not a curated record. The transcript is spliced from 3 exons.